Molecule: ribosomal RNA, 501 nt
Filed under: uncultured bacterium
Lineage: Bacteria
Description: bacterial SSU rRNA
Rfam family: Bacterial small subunit ribosomal RNA
Source: RNAcentral
AACGAACGCUGGCGGCGCGUCUAAGCAUGCAAGUCGAACGGCAAGAGGUAGCAAUACCUCCUAGAGUGGCGGACUGGUGAGUAACACGUGGGUGACAUACCCUUCAGAUGGGGAUAGCUAUUAGAAAUAGUAGAUAAUACCGAAUACGAGCACAGGGGUUAGAGAUCUGUGAGGAAAGGAGCUAAGGCUCCGCUGAAGGAAUGGCCUGCGGCCCAUUAGCUAGUUGGUGAGGUAAGAGCCCACCAAGGCGAUGAUGGGUAUCCGGCCUUAGAGGGUGAACGGACGCAUUGGGACUGAGAUACGGCCCAGACUCCUACGGGAGGCAGCAGCUAAGAAUAUUCCGCAAUGGACGAAAGUCUGACGGAGCGACGCCGCGUGGAUGAAGAAGGCCGGAAGGUUGUAAAAAUCCUUUUGAAACUGAAGAAUAAGCGUUGUAGGGAAUGACAGCGUGGUGACAGUAGGUUUUGAAUAAGCAACGGCUAAUUACGUGCCAGCAGCGGC